RNAcentral lists this ribosomal RNA (502 nucleotides) under uncultured bacterium. Its description in RNAcentral is "bacterial SSU rRNA". It matches the Rfam family "Bacterial small subunit ribosomal RNA", at positions 28 to 517 of the family's 1533-position model. The record is from RNAcentral.
GAUGAACGCUAGCUACAGGCUUAACACAUGCAAGUCGAGGGGAAACGAUAGAGAAAGCUUGCUUUUUCUAGGCGUCGACCGGCGCACGGGUGAGUAACGCGUAUCCAACCUGCCCAUCACUUGGGGAUAACCUUGCGAAAGUAAGACUAAUACCCAAUGACGUCUCUAGAAGACAUCUGAAAGAGAUUAAAGAUUUAUCGGUGAUGGAUGGGGAUGCGUCUGAUUAGCUUGUUGGCGGGGUAACGGCCCACCAAGGCGAUGAUCAGUAGGGGUUCUGAGAGGAAGGUCCCCCACAUUGGAACUGAGACACGGUCCAAACUCCUACGGGAGGCAGCAGUGAGGAAUAUUGGUCAAUGGACGAGAGUCUGAACCAGCCAAGUAGCGUGAAGGAUGACUGCCCUAUGGGUUGUAAACUUCUUUUAUACGGGAAUAAAGUGAGGCAUGUGUGCCUUUUUGUAUGUACCGUAUGAAUAAGGAUCGGCUAACUCCGUGCCAGCAGCCG